UAGGGAAUCUUCGGCAAUGGACGAAAGUCUGACCGAGCAACGCCGCGUGAGUGAUGAAGGUUUUCGGAUCGUAAAACUCUGUUGCCAGGGAAGAAAGGCCAGGCGAGUAACUGCGCUUGGAUUGACGGUACCUGAGAAGAAAGCCCCGGCUAACUACGUGCCAGCAGCCGCGGUAAUACGUAGGGGGCAAGCGUUGUCCGGAAUUAUUGGGCGUAAAGCGCGCGCAGGCGGUUUUUUAAGUCUGGUGUAUAAACCUGAGGCUCAACCUUGGGACGCAUUGGAAACUGGGGAACUGGAGUGUAGGAGAGGAAAGUGGAAUUCCACGUGUAGCGGUGAAAUGCGUAGAUAUGUGGAGGAACACCAGUGGCGAAGGCGACUUUCUGGCCUAUAACUGACGCUGAGGCGCGAAAGCGUGGGGAGCAAACA
Molecule: ribosomal RNA, 426 nt
Filed under: uncultured Paenibacillus sp.
Lineage: Bacteria; Bacillati; Bacillota; Bacilli; Caryophanales; Paenibacillaceae
Description: bacterial SSU rRNA
Rfam family: Bacterial small subunit ribosomal RNA
Source: RNAcentral